GUGGUCGAGCGAUCACGAGUAUGGAGACGGAGUCAUAAAGGUGGUCGAACACACGCACAGUGUCGAAGCUUCUUUUAUCGCUAAGGAAAAAAUGAAAUGUCAGACCGUGUUAUUAUUGCCCUGAUGCCCUCGACCAGCUCGUUGAAAAGGACUUUGCGGCAGAUUCGUCACGAAAGUGAAAACUACCCAACGAAUCCGGAAAAUCGAAAAGAUUUUGUCCUCCCGCAAGAGCUUUGAGAGACGGAGAAGAAAACAGGUUUUCUGUCUACGCUUUGUUGCGAGACAAGAGGAAAGUCGUGUGUCGUCAAAUGCUCCAUCGUCCGAUCGACAUCCGGGCAGAUCUGAGCCCUUCGACUGUACUCAUGAACAUGAAAAAAGCUGCUGUUCGAGCAUUCCUGGACGUGUCAAUCCGCUUUCCUAAUUUCCACUUCAGUCAAUCGGUACGGCAGAAGCUCACAUAACUUGACAUCGGUCUACGGCACGGGCCAAGUUUUUCCUUAAAAAAUCAAGCUUCUCGCGACGCUCGCUUGCGUUCCAGUGGACAACGCGAAGAGUUUAUUCGCUCGGAUCGUGGACCAAGUUUUUCACAACCCCGAAAAAGAUGCGGCAGAUUUCCUUCUGUCCUUUGAAAAACGGUUCGUCGGUCGCCGUCACUACCGUCCUCGACGAAACAGGCACAAUCUGAAAAUUACCCAAUAAAACAUUGGAAUCAUUGCGACUCGUGUAAAGCGUGCCUCACGAAAAUAACUACGUCGAAGGAUGAAAUCGCGGAUAUAAUUCGUUUUUUAAACGAAAAAAUUCAACAAUGUUGUUUUUCAUUGAUUGUUUAAAAACGGGACAGUCAGGGAACGAAGAAUUCAUUAUUGAACAGAAAAAUUAUUCCAGAAAACAUUAGUGAAAAAUAAUUACAAAACUGUGAGAAUUCGUUGACUUAUUUCAGUUUUUUUCUAAGGAAAGCUGAUUAAUUAUGUGCCAGAUUAGAAAAAGACUUGUAACGAUAACGUGCAAGAAUCAAAAUAUAUUAUUUGGAACAAAA
This is a long non-coding RNA of Venturia canescens, 1036 nucleotides long. RefSeq lists it as uncharacterized. The record is from RefSeq and is a predicted model, not a curated record. The transcript is spliced from 2 exons. NCBI's taxonomy places the organism in Eukaryota, Metazoa, Arthropoda, Insecta, Hymenoptera, Ichneumonidae.